RNAcentral lists this ribosomal RNA (391 nucleotides) under Deltaproteobacteria bacterium. Its description in RNAcentral is "bacterial SSU rRNA". It matches the Rfam family "Bacterial small subunit ribosomal RNA", at positions 1164 to 1533 of the family's 1533-position model. Lineage: Bacteria; Pseudomonadati; Myxococcota; Myxococcia. The record is from RNAcentral.
GGGAGGAAGGUGGGGAUGACGUCAAGUCCUCAUGGCCUUUAUACCCAGGGCUACACACGUGCUACAAUGGGCUGUACAAAGGGCUGCGACUCUGUAAGGAGAAGCUAAUCCCAAAAAGUAGUCCUAAGUUCGGAUUGGAGUCUGCAACUCGACUCCAUGAAGCUGGAAUCGCUAGUAAUCGUGGAUCAGCAUGCCACGGUGAAUACGUUCCCGGGCCUUGUACACACCGCCCGUCACACCACGAAAGCUGGUUGUACCAGAAGUUGCUGGGCUAACCCCUGAGCUUGUUGAAGGGGAGGCAGGCACCUAAGGUAUGGCUGGUGAUUGGGGUGAAGUCGUAACAAGGUAGCCGUAGAGGAAUCUGCGGCUGGAUCACCUCCUUUCUAAGGAG